RNAcentral lists this transfer RNA (73 nucleotides) under Felis catus (domestic cat). It matches the Rfam family "tRNA". From Rfam's summary of the family: Transfer RNA (tRNA) molecules are approximately 80 nucleotides in length. Their secondary structure includes four short double-helical elements and three loops (D, anti-codon, and T loops). Lineage: Eukaryota; Metazoa; Chordata; Mammalia; Carnivora; Felidae. The record is from Rfam by way of RNAcentral.
ACUUGGCUGGCUUAGUCAGUAGAGCAUGAGACUCUUGAUCUCAGCAAUGUGGGUUCAAGCCCAAUGAUGUGUG